RNAcentral lists this ribosomal RNA (233 nucleotides) under uncultured bacterium. RNAcentral describes it as "partial 16S ribosomal RNA". It matches the Rfam family "Bacterial small subunit ribosomal RNA", at positions 114 to 334 of the family's 1533-position model. The record is from RNAcentral.
CGCGUAGGUAAUCUAUCCUUACAUUUGGGAUAACAUCGGGAAACUGGUGCUAAUACCGAUGGUCUUCAUUGCUUUGGGGCGAUGGAGUAAAGGUGGCCUCUUCAUGAAAGCUACCGUGUAGGGAUGAGCCUGCGUACCAUUAGCUAGUAGGUGGGGUAAUGGCCCACCUAGGCUACGAUGGUUAGCGGGUCUGAGAGGAUGAUCCGCCACACUGGAACUGAAACACGGACCAG